RNAcentral lists this ribosomal RNA (210 nucleotides) under uncultured bacterium. Its description in RNAcentral is "partial 16S ribosomal RNA". It matches the Rfam family "Bacterial small subunit ribosomal RNA", at positions 1295 to 1500 of the family's 1533-position model. The record is from RNAcentral.
GGACUGCAGUCUGCAACUCGACUGCACGAAGCUGGAAUCGCUAGUAAUCGCGGAUCAGCACGCCGCGGUGAAUACGUUCCCGGGCCUUGUACACACCGCCCGUCACACCAUGGAAGUCUGCAAUGCCCGAAGCCGGUGGCCUAACCACUUAUGUGGAAGGAGCCGUCUAAGGCAGGGCAGAUGACUGGGGUGAAGUCGUAACAAGGUAGC